AUCGCUUCUCGGCCUUUUGGCUAAGAUCAAGUGUAGUAUUUGUUCUUAUCAGUUUAAAAAAAGAAUGUGUCAGAGGUAGAGAGGUAGGGCCAUGAGGCUGUUUUGCGUGAUCCAUAAACUAGAUAUUUGCUGUAUUCUAUCAAAUCUAAGAUAUCUCUAAUUUCCAACUUAC
RNAcentral lists this small nuclear RNA (172 nucleotides) under Suricata suricatta (meerkat). Its description in RNAcentral is "U2 spliceosomal RNA (ENSSSUG00005001598.1)". It matches the Rfam family "U2 spliceosomal RNA". Rfam says of the family: U2 is a small nuclear RNA (snRNA) component of the spliceosome (involved in pre-mRNA splicing). Complementary binding between U2 snRNA (in an area lying towards the 5' end but 3' to hairpin I) and the branchpoint sequence (BPS) of the intron results the bulging out of an unpaired adenosine, on the BPS, which initiates a nucleophilic attack at the intronic 5' splice site, thus starting the first of two transesterification reactions that mediate splicing. Lineage: Eukaryota; Metazoa; Chordata; Mammalia; Carnivora; Herpestidae. The record is from Rfam by way of RNAcentral.